This 429-nucleotide ribosomal RNA is filed under the name Gemmatimonadota bacterium. RNAcentral describes it as "Gemmatimonadetes bacterium partial 16S ribosomal RNA". It matches the Rfam family "Bacterial small subunit ribosomal RNA", at positions 355 to 776 of the family's 1533-position model. Lineage: Bacteria; Pseudomonadati; Gemmatimonadota. The record is from RNAcentral.
UAGGGAAUCUUCGGCAAUGGACGAAAGUCUGACCGAGCAACGCCGCGUGAGUGAAGAAGGAUUUCGGAUCGUAAAACUCUGUUGUUAGAGAAGAACAAGGACGUUAGUAACUGAACGUCCCCUGACGGUAUCUAACCAGAAAGCCACGGCUAACUACGUGCCAGCAGCAGCGGUAAUACGUAGGUGGCAAGCGUUGUCCGGAUUUAAUGGGCGUAAAGCGAGCGCAGGCGGUUUCUUAAGUCUGAUGUGCAAGCCCCCGGCUCAACCGGGGAGGGUCAUUGUAAACUGUUAAACUUGAGUGCAGAAGAGGUGAGUGUAUUUCUCUGUGUAGCGCUGAAAUGCAUAGAUAUAAGGAGGAACACCAGUGGCGAAGCCGGCUCUCUGAUCUGUAACUGACUCUGAGGCUCGAAAGCGGAGGGAGCAAUCAUG